Non-coding RNA from Peptococcaceae bacterium BRH_c4a, 158 nucleotides. The record is from Rfam. NCBI's taxonomy places the organism in Bacteria, Bacillati, Bacillota, Clostridia, Eubacteriales, Peptococcaceae.
UACCGGAGGCUGCUACUGUCUCUUAACGACCGAGCCUACGGAAUGCCGAGCCGGCUGCAGGACGCAGCCGGAAGCCGGAAUCGACGCAUGGAUGCGGCGUUGGAGGCGGUCGGCAUUCCGUUGGCGACCGAGUUUAGAGACAGUUGCAGCCGGAGGUU